Molecule: ribosomal RNA, 254 nt
Filed under: uncultured bacterium
Lineage: Bacteria
Description: partial 16S ribosomal RNA
Rfam family: Bacterial small subunit ribosomal RNA
Source: RNAcentral
UACGGGGGGAGCAAGCGUUGUUCGGAUUUACUGGGCGUAAAGGGCGCGUAGGCGGCCACCGCAAGUCGACUGUGAAAUCUCCGGGCUUAACCCGGAAAGGUCAGCCGAUACUGUGGGGCUAGAGUGCAGAAGGGGCAACUGGAAUUCUCGGUGUAGCGGUGAAAUGCGUAGAUAUCGAGAGGAACACCUGCGGCGAAGGCGGGUUGCUGGGCUGACACUGACGCUGAGGCGCGAAAGCGUGGGGAGCGAACAGG